AGGACGAACGCUGGCGGCGUGCUUAACACAUGCAAGUCGAGCGGAAAGGCCCUUCGGGGUACUCGAGCGGCGAACGGGUGAGUAACACGUGAGUAAUCUGCCCCUAGCUCUGGGAUAGCUCCGGGAAACCGGGAUUAAUACCAGAUACGACCACUUUAGACAUCUUCUGUGGUGGAAAGAACUUCGGCUGGAGAUGAGCUCGCGGCCUAUCAGCUUGUUGGUGGGGUAAAGCCUACCAAGGCGACGACGGGUA
Molecule: ribosomal RNA, 253 nt
Filed under: uncultured bacterium
Lineage: Bacteria
Description: partial small subunit ribosomal RNA
Rfam family: Bacterial small subunit ribosomal RNA
Source: RNAcentral